RNAcentral lists this ribosomal RNA (390 nucleotides) under uncultured bacterium. RNAcentral describes it as "bacterial SSU rRNA". It matches the Rfam family "Bacterial small subunit ribosomal RNA", at positions 30 to 419 of the family's 1533-position model. The record is from RNAcentral.
AUUGAACGCUGGCGGAAUGCUUUACACAUGCAAGUCGAACGGCAGCACGGACUUCGGUCUGGUGGCGAGUGGCGAACGGGUGAGUAAUAUAUCGGAACGUGCCCAGUCGUGGGGGAUAACGUAGUGAAAAUUACGCUAAUACCGCAUACGAUCUAAGGAUGAAAGCGGGGGAUCGCAAGACCUCGCGCGAUUGGAGCGGGCCGAUAUCAGAUUAAGUAGUUGGUGAGGUAAAGGCUCACCAAGCCAACGAUCUGUAGCUGGUCUGAGAGGACGACCAGCCACACUGGAACUGAGACACGGUCCAGACUCCUACGGGAGGCAGCAGUGGGGAAUUUUGGACAAUGGACGCAAGUCUGAUCCAGCCAUUCCGCGUGCAGGACGAAGGCCUUC